GAAAAUUGAAACAUAGGCAUGUGGGUAAUGGUUGGAAAGGUCUUGACAUGAGGAACAAAUGUUAUGUUGACCAAAACUCAUUUUGAGUGUGGAAAUUUAUGAAAACAGGCCAUGAAGUUCAUAGUGCAAUACAUGCCUUUGAGAAUUUUGCCAAAUUGGACCAACUUCAAGCCCCUUUGUUUUGAUGAUGAAAGCCCCAAAUGGAGACCCCUCCAACAUAAAAGUUGUAUAUCUUCUCAAUGUGAUCAAAAUGGACUUAAAUUUUGCAUUAUUUGGAUUUUUUAUUAAGGAGUUAUGGGCACUUGAAGUUGGACUUUUUUGCCUUUCAAUGCAUUUGGUCCAAAGUGACCUAUAAUGUUUUGCAUUAUCACAUGUGUUUUCUUUGAGAUUUUGAAAUUUUGUUCAACAUAACAUUUGAAGUAGACAUAUUAAGCUUUCCAAUGAAUUUAAUCCCACCUCAAAAUCAUAAAAAAUAAAUGAGUUAUGUUCUUGUGAAGUUGACCCAAAAUUAGGGUUUCAAUCAAAAUGACCUAUAAUGUCUUGGAAUGGAUAAUGACCUUCCAAGCUUCAAAUCAAUUUUUGAUGAACAUGAAAGUUGUUAAUAUUGUCCUUAGGAAUAUUGUUUCUUUUGGGAUCAUCUCCAUUUGACUAACACAUAAAAAUUUAGGUCUCAGUGUAUUUCAAAAUAGUCAAAUGAAUUGACUGAUCAACUUCUCAAGUCCACAACUCAUAUCUUGAUGAAUUUAUGAUUGAGGACUCUCAAAUAAGUUCAAAUAUGCAUGAAAUGAUGAAUUAAAGGCCUUCCCUUGAUUGUGUUUGAUCAUGGGCUGAGGUUGCUUCAUGAGCAAGGCAUACUUGGUACACAGAUGAAUUAGGGUUUCCUUGAGAACACAAUCCUCAAACCCUUUGACUUGCUUUGAUCAAAAUGAUGAAUUGAGAUACUUGGGAGACAUAUAUGAUGGAUAAGAGCUUUGGGAACCAUUACCAUGCUUGCUUUCAUCUUCUCUUGUCCAUGGCUUUGCACCAAGGAUCUCCUUGAAGCUCUUGACCUUGUGAUUACUCAAGCUAUAAACAAAAAAUGUUAGUGACAUAUUUUUGUGUUUUUGGUUAGUAAACAAAAAUGAGAAAAGCAAUAAUAUACAAUUCAAGCAUGCCUGGUGAUCUCAAACCACUCACAAGAAGUCCUACCCAAAGGCAAAGAGAACCAAGAUGCUCAAUGAUCCUUGAGGCUUUGCAAAUGCAAUGUUAUGAUGCCAUGAGGGAUCUUAGGGCCAAAAUUGGGGUCUUACAGGUCCAUGCGGAUGUUGACGCAACAUGAUUUCUGCCCAGUGCUCUGAAUGUCAAAGUGAAGAAAUUCAACCAAGCGCGGGUAAACAGCGGGAGUAACUAUGACUCUCUUAAGGUAGCCAAAUGCCUCGUCAUCUAAUUAGUGACGCACAUGAAUGGAUUAACGAGAUUCCCAUUGUCCCUGUCUACUAUCCAGCGAAACCACAACCAAAGGAACGGGCUUGGCGGAAUCAGUGGGGAAAAAAGACCCUGUUGAGCUUGACUCUAGUCCGACUUUGUGAAAUGACUUGAGAGGUGUAUGAUAAGUGGGAGUUGGAAACAAUGAAAGUGAAAUACCACUACUUUUAACGUUAUUUUACUUAUUUCGUUAAUCGGAGGUGGGGCGCUGCCCCUCUUUUUGGAUCCAAGGCUGACUUUGGUUGGUCGAUCCGGGCGAAAGACAUUGUCAGGUGGGGAGUUUGGCUAGGGAGGCACAUCUGUUAAAAGAUAACGCAGGUGUCCUAAGAUGAGCUCAACGAGAACAAAAAUCUCGUGUGGAACAAAAGGGUAAAAGCUCGUUUGAUUCUGAUUUCCAGUACGAAGACGAACCGUGAAAGCGUGGCCUAUCGAUCCUUUAGACCUUCGGAAUUUGAAGCUAGAGGUGUCAAAAAAGUUACCACAAGGAUAACUGGCUUGUGGAAGCCAAGCGUUUAUAGCGACGUUACUUUUUGAUCCUUCGAUGUCGGCUCUUCCUAUCAUUGUGAAGCAGAAUUCACCAACUGUUGGAUUGUUCAUCCACCAAUAGGGAACGUGAGCUGGGUUUAGACCGUCGUGAGACAAGUUAGUUUUACCCUACUGAUGACAGUGUCGCAAUAGUAAUUCAACAUAUUAUGAGAGGAACCGUUGAUUCGCACAAUUGGUCAUCGCGCUUGGUUGAAAAUCCAGUGGCGCGAAGCUACCGUGUGUUGGAUUAUGACUGAACGCCUCUAAGUCAGAAUUCGGGCUAGAAGCGAUGUGUGCGCCCGAUGUUCACUUGCCGACCAGCAGUAGGGGGCCUUGGCCCCCUAGAGGCACGUGUCGUUGGUGUACCCUGUAAGAUGGAUGAGCCUUAUUGGACACUAUGAAACGCAAUUCCUAUUGAGC
Molecule: ribosomal RNA, 2409 nt
Filed under: Lathyrus oleraceus (garden pea)
Lineage: Eukaryota; Viridiplantae; Streptophyta; Magnoliopsida; Fabales; Fabaceae
Description: eukaryotic LSU rRNA
Rfam family: Eukaryotic large subunit ribosomal RNA (bases 958-2409)
Source: RNAcentral